AUGGCUGUCGUCAGCUCGUGUCGUGAGAUGUUGGGUUAAGUCCCGCAACGAGCGCAACCCUCGUUCUAUGUUGCCAGCGCGUUAUGGCGGGAACUCAUAGGAGACUGCCGGGGUCAACUCGGAGGAAGGUGGGGAUGACGUCAAAUCAUCAUGCCCCUUAUGUCUUGGGCUUCACGCAUGCUACAAUGGCCGGUACAAAGGGCUGCAAUACCGUAAGGUGGAGCGAAUCCCAAAAAGCCGGUCUCAGUUCGGAUUGAGGUCUGCAACUCGACCUCAUGAAGUCGGAGUCGCUAGUAAUCGUGGAUCAGCAACGCCACGGUGAAUACGUUCCCGGGCCUUGUACACACCGCCCGUCAAGUCAUGAAAGUCGGUAACACCCGAAGCCAGUGGCCCAACCGCAAGGAGGGAGCUGUCGAAGGUGGGAUCGGUGAUUAGGACUAAGUCGUAACAAGGUAGCCGUACCGGAAGGUGCGGCUGGAUCACCUCCUUUCUAAGGAGCAUCUUUCAGACUUCGGUCUGACAAGAGCCGUACUGAGGCGUUCGUUCUCAGACGGUUUGCUCAUGGGUGGAACAUUUGACUAGGUGCCGACUCGAUUCUCGAGAUCCCAGUACAGCUCUUCGGAGCACGGAACGGAUCGGAAGAGGGCAGCCGGCACAUGCACGCUGUUGGGUCCUGAGGGACCGGGCCGGCGAUCGCAAGAUUGUCGUGACCCUACCUCUGGACUUCGACUGUCCCGGCCAGCGGCCGAGGCGGCGGAGUACCGCCCGUAUUUUGAGAACUACACAGUGGACGCGAGCAUCUUAGAUUCGGACUCUUCGGAGUCCGUGAUCUACAAGAUGAACUAAAGGGCACCCUUCGGGGUGUUCCGAUAGAUCAUUGGUCAAUCUGCAGCUGACGGAACGUGCCUUCGGGCUCAGUACGCCGGCUGUCGAUCGAUUCUAAAAACUCAUGUAGUCAAGUUUCUAAGAGCAGACGGUGGAUGCCUUGGCAUCUGGAGCCGAAGAAGGACGUAGCAAUCUGCGAUAAGCCUCGGGGAGCUGAUAAGCGAGCUUUGAUCCGAGGAUGUCCGAAUGGGGAAACCCGG
Molecule: small RNA, 1085 nt
Filed under: uncultured Microbacteriaceae bacterium
Lineage: Bacteria; Bacillati; Actinomycetota; Actinomycetes; Micrococcales; Microbacteriaceae
Description: bacterial SSU rRNA
Rfam family: Bacterial small subunit ribosomal RNA (bases 1-490)
Source: RNAcentral